RNAcentral lists this ribosomal RNA (278 nucleotides) under uncultured Dinoroseobacter sp. RNAcentral's name for it is "partial 16S ribosomal RNA". It matches the Rfam family "Bacterial small subunit ribosomal RNA", at positions 29 to 334 of the family's 1533-position model. Lineage: Bacteria; Pseudomonadati; Pseudomonadota; Alphaproteobacteria; Rhodobacterales; Roseobacteraceae. The record is from RNAcentral.
AACGAACGCUGGCGGCAGGCUUAACACAUGCAAGUCGAGCGCACUCUUCGGAGUGAGCGGCGGACGGGUGAGUAACGCGUGGGAACAUACCCUUCACUGCGGAAUAGCCUCUGGAAACGGAGAGUAAUACCGCAUACGCCCUUCGGGGGAAAGAUUUAUCGGUGAGGGAUUGGCCCGCGUUGGAUUAGGUAGUUGGUGGGGUAAUGGCCCACCAAGCCGACGAUCCAUAGCUGGUUUGAGAGGAUGAUCAGCCACACUGGGACUGAGACACGGCCCAG